AUGCAGCGACUCGAAUUCACCGAUCAACACAUCGUAGGGCCGUCGCUUCCUCGUGCUUGCCUUCGUCUUAAUCGAUUUUCCGGCGAGUUCCACCAUGAGUUCGUCUCAACUCUCCUCGAUUCGUUUCGUUUCUCACGAUCUUCCGUCUCGUCUCUGCCGCGAUCUGCUUUCCUCAACGCAUCGUUCUCGCGAGAGCCGCUCAUCAAUCUCUCAGAUCGAAACCAAAAACGAACUCCAGAGGUGAUGAGGGAGAUUUGUUGA
This 261-nucleotide long non-coding RNA is filed under the name Vicia faba (fava bean). Lineage: Eukaryota; Viridiplantae; Streptophyta; Magnoliopsida; Fabales; Fabaceae. The record is from RNAcentral.